This 478-nucleotide ribosomal RNA is filed under the name uncultured bacterium. RNAcentral's name for it is "partial 16S ribosomal RNA". It matches the Rfam family "Bacterial small subunit ribosomal RNA", at positions 28 to 523 of the family's 1533-position model. The record is from RNAcentral.
GACGAACGCUGGCGGCGUGCUUAACACAUGCAAGUCGAACGGUAAGGCCCUUCGGGGUACACGAGUGGCGAACGGGUGAGUAACACGUGGGUGAUCUGCCCUGCACUUCGGGAUAAGCCUGGGAAACUGGGUCUAAUACCGGAUAGGACUCCGGACUGCAUGGUCUGGGGUGGAAAGCUUGUGCGGUGUGGGAUGGGCCCGCGGCCUAUCAACUGGUUGGUGGGGUGCUGGCCUACCAAGGCGACGGCGGGUAGCCGGCCUGAGAGGGUGACCGGCCACACUGGGACUGAGAUACGACCCAGACUCCUACGGGAGGCAGCAGUGGGGAAUAUUGCACAAUGGGCGCAAGCCUGAUGCAGCGACGCCGCGUGAGGGAUGACGGCCUUCGGAUUGUAAACCUCUUUCAGCACAGACGAAGCGCAAGUGACGGUAUGUGCAGAAGAAGGACCGGCCAACUACGUGCCAGCCGCCGCCGUAA